GACGAACGCUGGCGGCGUGCUUAACACAUGCAAGUCGAACGGAAAGGCCCUGCUUUUGUGGGGUGCUCGAGUGGCGAACGGGUGAGUAACACGUGAGUAACCUGCCCUUGACUUUGGGAUAACUUCAGGAAACUGGGGCUAAUACCGGAUAGGAGCUCCUGCUGCAUGGUGGGGGUUGGAAAGUUUCGGCGGUUGGGGAUGGACUCGCGGCUUAUCAGCUUGUUGGUGGGGUAGUGGCUUACCAAGGCUUUGACGGGUAGCCGGCCUGAGAGGGUGACCGGCCACAUUGGGACUGAGAUACGGCCCAGACUCCUACGGGAGGCAGCAGUGGGGAAUAUUGCACAAUGGGCGGAAGCCUGAUGCAGCAACGCCGCGUGCGGGAUGACGGCCUUCGGGUUGUAAACCGCUUUCGCCUGUGACGAAGCGUGAGUGACGGUAAUGGGUAAAGAAGCACCGGCUAACUACGUGCCAGCAGCCGCGGUGAUACGUAGGGUGCGAGCGUUGUCCGGAUUUAUUGGGCGUAAAGGGCUCGUAGGUGGUUGAUCGCGUCGGAAGUGUAAUCUUGGGGCUUAACCCUGAGCGUGCCUUCGAUACGGGUUGACUUGAGGAAGGUAGGGGAGAAUGGAAUUCCUGGUGGAGCGGUGGAAUGCGCAGAUAUCAGGAGGAACACCAGUGGCGAAGGCGGUUCUCUGGGCCUUUCCUGACGCUGAGGAGCGAAAGCGUGGGGAGCGAACAGGCUUAGAUACCCUGGUAGUCCACGCUGUAAACGGUGGGUACUAGGUGUGGGGUCCAUUCCACGGGUUCCGUGCCGUAGCUAACGCUUUAAGUACCCCGCCUGGGGAGUACGGCCGCAAGGCUAAAACUCAAAGGAAUUGACGGGGCCCCGCACAAGCGGCGGAGCAUGCGGAUUAAUUCGAUGCAACGCGUAGAACCUUACCUGGGUUUGACAUGGAUCGGGAGUGCUCAGAGAUGGGUGUGCCUCUUUUGGGGUCGGUUCACAGGUGGUGCAUGGCUGUCGUCAGCUCGUGUCGUGAGAUGUUGGGUUAAGUCCCGCAACGAGCGCAACCCUUGUUCACUGUUGCCAGCACGCUAUGGUGGGGACUCAGUGGAGACCGCCGGGGUCAACUCGGAGGAAGGUGGGGAUGACGUCAAGUCAUCAUGCCCCUUAUGUCCAGGGCUUCACGCAUGCUACAAUGGCUGGUACAGAGAGUGGCGAGCCUGUGAGGGUGAGCGAAUCUCGGAAAGCCGGUCUCAGUUCGGAUUGGGGUCUGCAACUCGACCUCAUGAAGUCGGAGUCGCUAGUAAUCGCAGAUCAGCAACGCUGCGGUGAAUACGUUCCCGGGGCU
This 1346-nucleotide ribosomal RNA is filed under the name uncultured bacterium. Its description in RNAcentral is "partial 16S ribosomal RNA". It matches the Rfam family "Bacterial small subunit ribosomal RNA", at positions 28 to 1381 of the family's 1533-position model. The record is from RNAcentral.